This 85-nucleotide transfer RNA is filed under the name Dysgonamonadaceae bacterium. RNAcentral's name for it is "tRNA-Ser". It matches the Rfam family "tRNA". From Rfam's summary of the family: Transfer RNA (tRNA) molecules are approximately 80 nucleotides in length. Their secondary structure includes four short double-helical elements and three loops (D, anti-codon, and T loops). The record is from RNAcentral. Lineage: Bacteria; Pseudomonadati; Bacteroidota; Bacteroidia; Bacteroidales; Dysgonomonadaceae.
GGAAAGAUGGCAGAGUGGUCGAUUGCGGCGGUCUUGAAAACCGUUGAGCCGAGAGGUUCCCGGGGUUCGAAUCCCUGUCUUUCCG